This 72-nucleotide transfer RNA is filed under the name Camelus dromedarius (Arabian camel). It matches the Rfam family "tRNA". From Rfam's summary of the family: Transfer RNA (tRNA) molecules are approximately 80 nucleotides in length. Their secondary structure includes four short double-helical elements and three loops (D, anti-codon, and T loops). The record is from Rfam by way of RNAcentral. RNAcentral also lists the same sequence under 1 other name. Lineage: Eukaryota; Metazoa; Chordata; Mammalia; Artiodactyla; Camelidae.
GUGAGUAGAGCUCGGUGGUAGAGCGCAUGCUUAGCAUGCCUGAGGUCCUGAGUUCAAUCUCAAGUACUUCCG